RNAcentral lists this ribosomal RNA (465 nucleotides) under Vreelandella stevensii. RNAcentral describes it as "partial 16S ribosomal RNA". It matches the Rfam family "Bacterial small subunit ribosomal RNA", at positions 338 to 795 of the family's 1533-position model. Lineage: Bacteria; Pseudomonadati; Pseudomonadota; Gammaproteobacteria; Oceanospirillales; Halomonadaceae. The record is from RNAcentral.
CCUACGGGUGGCUGCAGUGGGGAAUAUUGGACAAUGGGCGAAAGCCUGAUCCAGCCAUGCCGCGUGUGUGAAGAAGGCCUUCGGGUUGUAAAGCACUUUCAGUGGGGAAGAAAGCCUUGGGGCUAAUACCCUCGAGGAAGGACAUCACCCACAGAAGAAGCACCGGCUAACUCCGUGCCAGCAGCCGCGGUAAUACGGAGGGUGCGAGCGUUAAUCGGAAUUACUGGGCGUAAAGCGCGCGUAGGCGGUCUGAUAAGCCGGUUGUGAAAGCCCCGGGCUCAACCUGGGAACGGCAUCCGAAACUGUCAGGCUAGAGUGCAGGAGAGGAAGGUAGAAUUCCCGGUGUAGCGGUGAAAUGCGUAGAGAUCGGGAGGAAUACCAGUGGCGAAGGCGGCCUUCUGGACUGACACUGACGCUGAGGUGCGAAAGCGUGGGUAGCAAACAGGAUUAGAUACCCCAGUAGUC